GGAUGAACGUUGGCGGCGUGCCUAAUACAUGCAAGUCGAACGGAGACGGUAGCAAUACGGUCUCAGUGGCGAACGGGUGAGUAACGCGUUGGUGACCUGCCCCGAAGUGUGGAAUAACAGAUCGAAAGAGCUGCUAAUACCGCAUAAUAUCCAGAAGAUUAGAUGCUUUUGGAUUAAAGGAUUUAUUCGCUUCGGGAGGGGCCUGCGUCCCAUCAGCUAGUUGGUAAGGUAAAGGCUUACCAAGGCUAUGACGGGUAGGGGACCUGAGAGGGUGGCCCCCCACAAUGGAACUGAAACACGGUCCAUACACCUACGGGUGGCAGCAGUAGGGAAUAUUAGUAAUGGGCGAAAGCCUGAACUAGCAACGCCGCGUGUGCGAAGGAGGCCUUCGGGUUGUAAAGCACUUUUUGAGAGGAUGAGGAAGGACGGUACUCUCAGAAUAAGUCUCGGCUAACUACGUGCCAGCAGCCGCGGUAACACGUAGGAGGCAAACGUUAUCCGGAUUUACUGGGCGUAAAGCGCGUGUAGGUGGUUUGGUAAGUAGGGCGUGAAAGCUCCUGGCUCAACUGGGAGAGGACGUUCUAAACUGCCAAGCUUGAGGAUGGUAGAGGGAGGUGGAAUUCCGGGUGUAGCGGUGGAAUGCGCAGAUAUCCGGAGGAACACCAGUGGCGAAGGCGGCCUCCUGGACCACUCCUGACACUCAGACGCGAAAGCUAGGGUAGCAAACGGGAUUAGAGACCCCGGUAGUCCUAGCCCUAAACGAUGUAGACUUGGCGUCGGUGGUUUAAUCGCCAUCGGUGUCGUAGCUAACGCGAUAAGUCUACCGCCUGGGGACUACGGCCGCAAGGUUAAAACUAAAAGGAAUUGACGGGUCCCCGCACAAGCAGCGGAGCGUGUGGUUUAAUUCGAUGCUACACGAAGAACCUUACCUGGGUUUGACAUAGAGGUAGUAGGGAAGCGAAAGCGGACCGACCCUUCGGGGAGCCUCUACAGGUGUUGCAUGGCUGUCGUCAGCUCGUGUCGUGAGAUGUUCGGUUAAGUCCGCUAACGAGCGCAACCCUCGUCCUUAGUUACCAUCAUUCAGUCGGGGACUCUAAGGAGACUGCCGAUGUAAAUCGGAGGAAGGUGGGGAUGACGUCAAAUCAUCAUGCCCUUUACGUCCUGGGCGACACACGUGCUACAAUGGCCGGUACAAAGAGAAGCAAUACCGCGAGGUGGAGCUAAUCCCAUAAAGCCGGUCUCAGUUCAGAUUGAAGUCUGCAACUCGACUUCAUGAAGUCGGAAUUGCUAGUAAUCGCAGAUCAGCCAUGCUGCGGUGAAUACGUUCCCGGGGCU
RNAcentral lists this ribosomal RNA (1335 nucleotides) under uncultured bacterium. RNAcentral's name for it is "bacterial SSU rRNA". It matches the Rfam family "Bacterial small subunit ribosomal RNA", at positions 27 to 1381 of the family's 1533-position model. The record is from RNAcentral.